CAUCUUCAGGGCGAGGCGCAAUUCCUCACCGGUGGUACAGCCCACGAGCCGUAAGGCAUGAUUCGGUGUAAUUCCGAAGCCGACAGUAUAGUCUGGAUGAAAGAAGAU
Molecule: non-coding RNA, 108 nt
Filed under: human gut metagenome
Description: FMN riboswitch (RFN element)
Rfam family: FMN riboswitch aptamer (RFN element)
About the family: The RFN element is a highly conserved domain that is found frequently in the 5'-untranslated regions of prokaryotic mRNAs that encode for flavin mononucleotide (FMN) biosynthesis and transport proteins.
Source: RNAcentral